This 74-nucleotide transfer RNA is filed under the name Camelus ferus (Wild Bactrian camel). It matches the Rfam family "tRNA". From Rfam's summary of the family: Transfer RNA (tRNA) molecules are approximately 80 nucleotides in length. Their secondary structure includes four short double-helical elements and three loops (D, anti-codon, and T loops). Further hydrogen bonds mediate the characteristic L-shaped molecular structure. tRNAs have two regions of fundamental functional importance: the anti-codon, which is responsible for specific mRNA codon recognition, and the 3' end, to which the tRNAs corresponding amino acid is attached (by aminoacyl-tRNA synthetases). tRNAs cope with the degeneracy of the genetic code in two manners: having more than one tRNA (with a specific anti-codon) for a particular amino acid; and 'wobble' base-pairing, i.e. permitting non-standard base-pairing at the 3rd anti-codon position. The record is from Rfam by way of RNAcentral. Lineage: Eukaryota; Metazoa; Chordata; Mammalia; Artiodactyla; Camelidae.
GAGGGUUUAGCUCAGUGGUAGAGUACGUGCUUUAGCAUGCAGAAGGUCCUGGGUUCAAAUCCCCAGUACUUCCA